GUAACUCGCUUGAGGUUGUUGGGUGAUCAGUUGCAUUCGACCCGUAUAGCUUUUGUUGAGUUUGCUCUGGCCGAGACUGCUCUUCAAGCUCUUAAUUGUAGUGGCAUGAUCUUGGGUGCUCAACCAAUCAGGGUAAGUCCGUCUAAGACGCCUGUUAGGCCACGAGUUACUCGCCCGGGUAGCAUUAAGCCAUCUUGAAAAGCAAACUCUCCAAUAUGAGUGGAUGAAAUUUCAGACAAUGUAUGAGUUGUCCCAAGUGUUGGUGAAACUUUCAUAACAGUAGUUGGUUGGACAAUGAAAUUCAGACAACUUGUGAAUUGUUGAAGUGUUG
This 331-nucleotide unclassified non-coding RNA is filed under the name Hevea brasiliensis (rubber tree). Lineage: Eukaryota; Viridiplantae; Streptophyta; Magnoliopsida; Malpighiales; Euphorbiaceae. The record is from RNAcentral.